GAUUUAUACCGCGUACGCCCUUCGGGGGAAAGCAGGGGAUCUUCGGACCUUGCGCUAUUGGAUGUGCCUAUGUCGGAUUAGCUAGUUGGUGGGGUAAAGGCCUACCAAGGCGACGAUCCGUAGCUGGUCUGAGAGGAUGAUCAGCCACAUCGGGACUGAGACACGGCCCGAACUCCUACGGGAGGCAGCAGUGGGGAAUAUUGGACAAUGGGGGCAACCCUGAUCCAGCCAUGCCGCGUGUGUGAAGAAGGCUUUCGGGUUGUAAAGCACUUUCAGUGAGGAGGAAAACCUUAUGGUUAAUACCCAUGAGGCUUGACGUUACUCACAGAAGAAGCACCGGCUAACUCCGUGCCAGCAGCCGCGGUAAUACGGAGGGUGCAAGCGUUAAUCGGAAUUACUGGGCGUAAAGCGCGCGUAGGUGGUUUGAUAAGCGAGAUGUGAAAGCCCCGGGCUUAACCUGGGAACGGCAUUUCGAACUGUCAGGCUAGAGUAUGGUAGAGGAGUGUGGAAUUUCCUGUGUAGCGGUGAAAUGCGUAGAUAUAGGAAGGAACACCAGUGGCGAAGGCGGCACUCUGGACCAAUACUGACACUGAAGUGCGAAAGCGUGGGGAGCAAACA
RNAcentral lists this ribosomal RNA (618 nucleotides) under Marinobacter sp. TA35. Its description in RNAcentral is "bacterial SSU rRNA". It matches the Rfam family "Bacterial small subunit ribosomal RNA", at positions 161 to 774 of the family's 1533-position model. The record is from RNAcentral. Lineage: Bacteria; Pseudomonadati; Pseudomonadota; Gammaproteobacteria; Pseudomonadales; Marinobacteraceae.